Molecule: ribosomal RNA, 253 nt
Filed under: uncultured bacterium
Lineage: Bacteria
Description: partial 16S ribosomal RNA
Rfam family: Bacterial small subunit ribosomal RNA
Source: RNAcentral
GACGGGUGAGUAAUGUCUGGGAAACUGCCUGAUGGAGGGGGAGUAACUACUGGAAACGGUAGCUAAUACCGCAUAAUGUCGCAAGACCAAAGAGGGGGGACCUUCGGGCCUCUUGCCAUCGGAUGUGCCCAGAUGGGAUUAGCUAGUAGGUGGGGUAACGGCUCACCUAGGCGACGAUCCCUAGCUGGUCUGAGAGGAUGACCAGCCACGCUGGAACUGAGACACGGUCCAGACUCCUACGGGAGGCAGCAUG